This 488-nucleotide ribosomal RNA is filed under the name uncultured Propionibacterium sp. RNAcentral's name for it is "partial 16S ribosomal RNA". Lineage: Bacteria; Bacillati; Actinomycetota; Actinomycetes; Propionibacteriales; Propionibacteriaceae. The record is from RNAcentral.
CACGUAGUUAGCCGGUGCUUCUUUACCCAUUACCGUCACUCACGCUUCAUCACAGGCGAAAGCGGUUUACAACCCGAAGGCCGUCAUCCCGCACGCGGCGUUGCUGCAUCAGGCUUCCGCCCAUUGUGCAAUAUUCCCCACUGCUGCCUCCCGUAGGAGUCUGGGCCGUAUCUCAGUCCCAAUGUGGCCGGUCACCCUCUCAGGCCGGCUACCCGUCAAAGCCUUGGUAAGCCACUACCCCACCAACAAGCUGAUAAGCCGCGAGUCCAUCCCCAACCGCCGAAACUUUCCAACCCCCACCAUGCAGCAGGAGCUCCUAUCCGGUAUUAGCCCCAGUUCCUGAAGUUAUCCCAAAGUCAAGGGCAGGUUACUCACGUGUUACUCACCCGUUCGCCACUCGAGCACCCCACAAAAGCAGGGCCUUCCGUUCGACUUGCAUGUGUUAAGCACGCCGCCAGCGUUCGUCCUGAGCCGAGGAUCGAAACUCU